Molecule: long non-coding RNA, 545 nt
Filed under: Homo sapiens (human)
Lineage: Eukaryota; Metazoa; Chordata; Mammalia; Primates; Hominidae
Description: HSALNT0164975
Source: RNAcentral
AGGAAAACACAGAGGAGAGGGACACACAACCCCUUGAUUAUUUGAUUCCUCUCCUUGAAUGGAGGAGACAGAGUUCUCAAAGGACCAGAGGCAGCAGUAUUCCAAAGGGCAGAGCUAAGGUCAAGUACAGAGAAGGAAGGGGACAUUCAAGGCAAGAAGGCAGAGGGUCACAAAUGGAAGAAAGCAGCAACUGGCUGAGAAGUGGGGACUAGGAAGCAAGAGGAAAAAGACUUCAACCUGGAGGCUGGCGAGCCCUGCCAAAGAGCCUGAACCUGUUCUGACUGCUGCCUCUUCCCUGAAGCUAGGCAAGAUUUUCAGGUGUAAAUGCCCAGGGCCUGGUUGCACCCCAGUUUGGCUCUGCUAAAGGUGAAGGCUGGCUCACUUAUGUCUGAGACAUUGGUCUGAGCCCACAUGGCCACAGCAUGAGAAGAGUGGUCCAUGUGGGCUGGGAAGCCCUAUGUGUCCUGGAUCUCUGAAUGUUUUGUAAAACUCUGUUAUUUUUGAUAAAAAUAACAUGUUCAAUGUGUGUUCAUCUGUGUACCUCU